ACUUCAAUCUUGAAAAUGACCUAGAAUGGAAUUGAUAAUUCUGAUUCUUUUAUUCCAUUCCAGAAUUCACACAGUAUUAUUCAUCUCAAGGGACAAGAAUGCUAAUGCCACUUCCCUUCACACGAACAGAAAAGAAUACAUUACAGAGACUGGUUAAACAAGAGAAGUUCAGGACAUAUUGAUGUUGGAUGGGCAAAAUGGAAAUAUGUUAAGAGACGCAUAAAUAGAAGUAGGAAAUAAAGG
This 243-nucleotide long non-coding RNA is filed under the name Fukomys damarensis (Damara mole-rat). RNAcentral describes it as "lncRNA (ENSFDAG00000030346.1)". Lineage: Eukaryota; Metazoa; Chordata; Mammalia; Rodentia; Bathyergidae. The record is from RNAcentral.